AACGCACAUUGCGCCCGCCAGUAUUCUGGCGGGCAUGCCUGUCUGAGCGUCAUUUCAACCCUCACGCUCCUAGGGCGUGGUGUUGGGGAUCGGCCAAAGCCCGCAAGGGACGGCCGGCCCCUAAAUCUAGUGGCGGACCCGUCGUGGCCUCCCCUGCGAAGUAGUGAUAUUUCCGCAUAGGAGAGCGAUGAGCCCCUGCCGUUAAACCCCCAAAUUUACAAGGUUGACCUCAGAUCAGGUAGGAAUACCCGCUGAACUUAA
This 261-nucleotide unclassified non-coding RNA is filed under the name uncultured fungus. RNAcentral's name for it is "sequence contains ITS2". The stretch from base 1 to 52 matches the Rfam family "5.8S ribosomal RNA", at positions 103 to 154 of the family's 154-position model. The record is from RNAcentral. Lineage: Eukaryota; Fungi.